AUUGAACGCUGGCGGCAGGCCUAACACAUGCAAGUCGAGCGAGCGGCGGACGGGUGUGAAUUGUAUGUGGGUCUGUCCGAGAGAGGGGGAUAACUACUGGAAACGGUGGCUCAUAUAGCACAUUGCAGGAGGAAUCCACAUGUGAUGAGCGCGUAGGUAAGGUAAAGGCUUACCUAGGCGACGAUACCCAGCUGGUCUGAGAGGAUGAUCAGCCACACUGGGACUGAGACACGGCCCAGACUCCUACGGGAGGCAGCAGUGGGGAAUAUUGCACAAUGGGCGCAAGCCUGAUGCAGCCAUGCCGCGUGUAUGAAGAAGGCCCUCGGGUUGUAAAGUACUUUCAGUCGGGAGGCGUUACCGGCAGAAGAAGCACCGGCUAACUCCGUGCCAGCAGCCGCGGUAAUAC
This 406-nucleotide ribosomal RNA is filed under the name uncultured bacterium. RNAcentral's name for it is "partial 16S ribosomal RNA". It matches the Rfam family "Bacterial small subunit ribosomal RNA", at positions 30 to 526 of the family's 1533-position model. The record is from RNAcentral.